AGCAUUAGCAACCAUAGCCAUGGCUUCCUCACCAAAACUCUUCUCUAUGUCUAUCCUCUUCCUUUUUGCCCUCUUCUCCAUGCAAAUCCAUGCUAGAGAGUACUUCAGCAAAUUCCCAAGAGUUAACACCAAUGAGAAAGAGACAACAACCAGAGAGCAAGAGCACGAGACCUUCGUUCCCCAGACCACCCAAAAGCCAGAAGAGCAAGAGCCAAGGUUCAUCCCUGAAACCCAAAAUGGUUAUGGCCUUUACGGCCACGAGUCAGGCUCAGGCUCAAGCCGGCCCAGUUUCACCACCAAAGAAACCUAUGAACCCUAUGUCACCCCUGUUAGAUUCCACCCUGAUGAACCCUAUAACAGCAUCCCCGAAUCCUCCAACAAUAAAGACACUUACUACUACAACAAGAAUGCCUACAAGUCCACUAAGCAGCAAAACUUGGGCGAGGCCAUUUUCACCGAGAAAGGAUGGAGCACCAAGGAAAACCAGAACAACAACUACUACAACGGCAACAUUAAUGGCGAGAAGCAAGGCAUGAGCGAUACUAGGUACUUGGAGAAUGGAAAGUACUACUAUGACGUCAAGAGUGAGAACAG
Molecule: long non-coding RNA, 594 nt
Filed under: Gossypium barbadense (sea-island cotton)
Lineage: Eukaryota; Viridiplantae; Streptophyta; Magnoliopsida; Malvales; Malvaceae
Description: long non-coding RNA (GBAR_LNC016096)
Source: RNAcentral